AUGUUCCAGAAAAUCAGCAAAAGGACAUUUUUUUUUCUCCCGGGUAACAACAGAUUGCCGCCAAAAUCUCUUCGUCGCAUACAUCUGCGGCUUACAUCGAUCUACUCCAUUGCCGCUGGAUCACAUGAGACUAGAUCAGGAUUGAUAGAGAAAAUUUGCCUUCUCCGUGGAUCAGCAUCUACUGUGUUCUUCAGCAUGGAAGUUGCUGGCACUUCAUCGUCCAUAGAUCAUGAGACCACAAAUGUGGGAGAGGCUGGUGGAAAUACAAAUGACUAUUACAUCAAAAGGUUAAAACCAGAGAUAGGAAUGGAAUUUGAGAAUGACGAUAUUGCAUAUGAGUUUUACAAUACAUAUGCAGGACAUGUAGGUUUCGGUGUCAGGAAAUCUUGGCAUGUACUGCCGGGUACUAUGACAUCGGUGCCACAAUCUCAUAACUAUAAUUUGCAAGUAUUAAAGCAUGGCUUGCCUCCACUAUCGCAGGCAGACACUGCUAGUUUUCAGCAGUUACUUGGCUUGCGACCACAACAACCAUAUUUCUAUCAUAGCACUCAACCGAGUCAGACUUAUGUGGUGUCAUCGUACUCGGGAUGGCCAACAUCUCAAAAUUACCAGCUGCCAACUAGUACUCAACCAAGUCGGAGUUCCCAAAUGUUAUCAGACUCGGGAUGGCCAACACCUCAAAAAAGACCAGCUGCCAAUUAA
This 702-nucleotide ribosomal RNA is filed under the name Triticum aestivum (bread wheat). RNAcentral's name for it is "partial small subunit ribosomal RNA". The record is from RNAcentral. Lineage: Eukaryota; Viridiplantae; Streptophyta; Magnoliopsida; Poales; Poaceae.